Molecule: ribosomal RNA, 535 nt
Filed under: Microvirga aerilata
Lineage: Bacteria; Pseudomonadati; Pseudomonadota; Alphaproteobacteria; Hyphomicrobiales; Methylobacteriaceae
Description: bacterial SSU rRNA
Rfam family: Bacterial small subunit ribosomal RNA
Source: RNAcentral
CAUGAGGAUGGGCGCAGCCUGAUCCAGCCAUGCCGCGUGAGUGAUGAAGGCCUUAGGGUUGUAAAGCUCUUUCGUCCGGGACGAUAAUGACGGUACCGGAAGAAGAAGCCCCGGCUAACUUCGUGCCAGCAGCCGCGGUAAUACGAAGGGGGCUAGCGUUGUUCGGAAUCACUGGGCGUAAAGGGCGCGUAGGCGGCUUGAUAAGUCGGGGGUGAAAGCCUGUGGCUCAACCACAGAAUUGCCUUCGAUACUGUCUGGCUUGAGACCGGAAGAGGUAAGUGGAACUGCGAGUGUAGAGGUGAAAUUCGUAGAUAUUCGCAAGAACACCAGUGGCGAAGGCGGCUUACUGGUCCGGUUCUGACGCUGAGGCGCGAAAGCGUGGGGAGCAAACAGGAUUAAAUACCCUGGUAGUCCACGCCGUAAACGAUGAAUGCCAGCCGUUGGCGAGCUUGCUCGUCAGUGGCGCAGCUAACGCUUUAAGCAUUCCGCCUGGGGAGUACGGUCGCAAGAUUAAAACUCAAUGAAAUUUGACGGA